This 2508-nucleotide ribosomal RNA is filed under the name Salmonella enterica subsp. enterica serovar Tennessee. RNAcentral's name for it is "bacterial LSU rRNA". It matches the Rfam family "Bacterial large subunit ribosomal RNA". Lineage: Bacteria; Pseudomonadati; Pseudomonadota; Gammaproteobacteria; Enterobacterales; Enterobacteriaceae. The record is from RNAcentral.
GGGUUGUGAGGUUAAGCGACUAAGCGUACACGGUGGAUGCCCUGGCAGUCAGAGGCGAUGAAGGACGUGCUAAUCUGCGAUAAGCGCCGGUAAGGUGAUAUGAACCGUUAUAACCGGCGAUUUCCGAAUGGGGAAACCCAGUGUGACUCGUCACACUAUCAUUAACUGAAUCCAUAGGUUAAUGAGGCGAACCGGGGGAACUGAAACAUCUAAGUACCCCGAGGAAAAGAAAUCAACCGAGAUUCCCCCAGUAGCGGCGAGCGAACGGGGAGGAGCCCAGAGCCUGAAUCAGCAUGUGUGUUAGUGGAAGCGUCUGGAAAGGCGCGCGAUACAGGGUGACAGCCCCGUACACAAAAGCGCAUGUGCUGUGAGCUCGAUGAGUAGGGCGGGACACGUGGUAUCCUGUCUGAAUAUGGGGGGACCAUCCUCCAAGGCUAAAUACUCCUGACUGACCGAUAGUGAACCAGUACCGUGAGGGAAAGGCGAAAAGAACCCCGGCGAGGGGAGUGAAAAAGAACCUGAAACCGUGUACGUACAAGCAGUGGGAGCNNNNNNNNNNNNNNGGGCGUUAAGUUGCAGGGUAUAGACCCGAAACCCGGUGAUCUAGCCAUGGGCAGGUUGAAGGUUGGGUAACACUAACUGGAGGACCGAACCGACUAAUGUUGAAAAAUUAGCGGAUGACCUGUGGCUGGGGGUGAAAGGCCAAUCAAACCGGGAGAUAGCUGGUUCUCCCCGAAAGCUAUUUAGGUAGCGCCUCGUGAAUUCAUCUCCGGGGGUAGAGCACUGUUUCGGCUAGGGGGCCAUCCCGGCUUACCAACCCGAUGCAAACUGCGAAUACCGGAGAAUGUUAUCACGGGAGACACACGGCGGGUGCUAACGUCCGUCGUGAAGAGGGAAACAACCCAGACCGCCAGCUAAGGUCCCAAAGUCAUGGUUAAGUGGGAAACGAUGUGGGAAGGCCCAGACAGCCAGGAUGUUGGCUUAGAAGCAGCCAUCAUUUAAAGAAAGCGUAAUAGCUCACUGGUCGAGUCGGCCUGCGCGGAAGAUGUAACGGGGCUAAACCAUGCACCGAAGCUGCGGCAGCGANNUGCUGGAGGUAUCAGAAGUGCGAAUGCUGACAUAAGUAACGAUAAAGCGGGUGAAAAGCCCGCUCGCCGGAAGACCAAGGGUUCCUGUCCAACGUUAAUCGGGGCAGGGUGAGUCGACCCCUAAGGCGAGGCCGAAAGGCGUAGUCGAUGGGAAACGGGUUAAUAUUCCCGUACUUGGUGUUACUGCGAAGGGGGGACGGAGAAGGCUAUGUUGGCCGGGCGACGGUUGUCCCGGUUUAAGCGUGUAGGUGUGUGUUCCAGGUAAAUCCGGUUCACUUUAACACUGAGGCGUGACGACGAGGCACUACGGUGCUGAAGCAACAAAUGCCCUGCUUCCAGGAAAAGCCUCUAAGCAUCAGGUAACAUCAAAUCGUACCCCAAACCGACACAGGUGGUCAGGUAGAGAAUACCAAGGCGCUUGAGAGAACUCGGGUGAAGGAACUAGGCAAAAUGGUGCCGUAACUUCGGGAGAAGGCACGCUGACAUGUAGGUGAAGUGAUUUACUCAUGGAGCUGAAGUCAGUCGAAGAUACCAGCUGGCUGCAACUGUUUAUUAAAAACACAGCACUGUGCAAACACGAAAGUGGACGUAUACGGUGUGACGCCUGCCCGGUGCCGGAAGGUUAAUUGAUGGGGUCAGCGCAAGCGAAGCUCCUGAUCGAAGCCCCGGUAAACGGCGGCCGUAACUAUAACGGUCCUAAGGUAGCGAAAUUCCUUGUCGGGUAAGUUCCGACCUGCACGAAUGGCGUAAUGAUGGCCAGGCUGUCUCCACCCGAGACUCAGUGAAAUUGAACUCGCUGUGAAGAUGCAGUGUACCCGCGGCAAGACGGAAAGACCCCGUGAACCUUUACUAUAGCUUGACACUGAACAUUGAGCCUUGAUGUGUAGGAUAGGUGGGAGGCUUUGAAGUGUGGACGCCAGUCUGCAUGGAGCCGACCUUGAAAUACCACCCUUUAAUGUUUGAUGUUCUAACGUGGACCCGUUAUCCGGGUUGCGGACAGUGUCUGGUGGGUAGUUUGACUGGGGCGGUCUCCUCCUAAAGAGUAACGGAGGAGCACGAAGGUUGGCUAAUCCUGGUCGGACAUCAGGAGGUUAGUGCAAUGGCAUAAGCCAGCUUGACUGCGAGCGUGACGGCGCGAGCAGGUGCGAAAGCAGGUCAUAGUGAUCCGGUGGUUCUGAAUGGAAGGGCCAUCGCUCAACGGAUAAAAGGUACUCCGGGGAUAACAGGCUGAUACCGCCCAAGAGUUCAUAUCGACGGCGGUGUUUGGCACCUCGAUGUCGGCUCAUCACAUCCUGGGGCUGAAGUAGGUCCCAAGGGUAUGGCUGUUCGCCAUUUAAAGUGGUACGCGAGCUGGGUUUAGAACGUCGUGAGACAGUUCGGUCCCUAUCUGCCGUGGGCGCUGGAGAACUGAGGGGGGCUG